Long non-coding RNA from Sapajus apella (tufted capuchin), 11842 nucleotides. RefSeq lists it as uncharacterized. The record is from RefSeq and is a predicted model, not a curated record. Lineage: Eukaryota; Metazoa; Chordata; Mammalia; Primates; Cebidae. The transcript has 2 exons.
GACCAGCCUGGCCAACAUAGCGUAAACCCUAUCUCUACUAAAAAUACAAAAAUUAGACCAGUGUGGUGGCAGGCACCUGUGGUCCCAGCGACUUGUAUGAGGCAGGCUCAUGGCUUGAACCCGAGAGACAGAGGCAGAGGUUGCAGUGAGCUGAAAUUGGGCCACUGCUCUCCAACCUGGGUGACAGAGUGAUACUCUGCCUCAAAAACAAAACCAAACAAAAAAAAACAAAACAAACAAAAAAAACCUAAUUAUUAAAACUUACUAAAUUUUAUUUGUGUACCAUUUAUAGUCAUCUCAUGUAUCAUACUUGAGGACUGGUGCCCUAGCAUAGCCUUGCACAUUUUCACAUUUAGUCAUUAUUUGUUUAAUUGUUGGGGAGAGGGAAUAAGAUUCAUGCACUUAGUGUGUCAAGUGUUGUUUUCAAUAGUUUAUAUAUGGUUUCUCUUAAUCCCUAUUACUACCAAAUGAGAAAGAUGUAUUCAUUUUAUACAUAAGAAAAGUGAGGCUCAGAAAGGCUAAGUGACUUUUCUAAGGUCAAAUAGUUUGGCAAAAAUUAGAGCUGAGAUAUGAACCUAGGUUUAUCUGAUUUCAAAGCCUGUACUGUUUUUGCUACAUAUUGUGGACUCUCAGUAAUUAGUGGGUUAACCUUAUGCAUUACUGUCUGCUUUCCUGUUGUUAUUCCUCUGUGGUUAGACGAGAGUGGACGCUGAAUGGUAUUUACAGUUUGUAAUUUUCUUCUGGAAUUGCAUUUUGCAUGGUCUUGAAAGUUGUCCUUACCACCUACUUUUCAAGGUUUGUAUGAAAGGAAGCCUCUUAGCUCUACUGCGAGGAAUAUGCUUGCUUUGGAUUUUUAAAAAGUGUUGCUAAUGAAGAGUUUAGACAUAUAUUAAGCUUCUUAUUUAAGUUAGAGGUAGCUUCUCUCUCUCUACCUGUUUUUCAUUUUAUGUAGCCUAGAUCAUAUUAUGCUUCAGAGAUAAAGCCUGGAGAUAAUUUGAUUCUUAUCCAAAAUGAGUCCCAUUUUCAGCAUAUCCAUAUGCUCAUCUAACCAUUGCUUGAUUACCUCCAAUUAUGGAGUCUCACUGUCUCCUCUUUAACUAUUACUAAAAAAUGAAAGCCUCGAUAGCCAUAGUCUUUCAAUAGUAAUAUCCUACUACUUAAAAGUUGCAAGGUGGCCUAAUGUUUGCUUAUUCAAUUUAUUUAUUUUGGUGGUAGAAAAUAGAAAAAGUUGUAAAAAUAUUGUUUGCCUUUUGAUAAAUUCAGGAAACUUUUUCUAUUUCCCCUUAAAUCAUUUGGUUUCCAUCUCAGAUAAUCAUUAGGGUUUCAUUCUCAUUCAGCUGGGUAGCAUACCCAGAGAUUGUUAAACAAUCUCUUACACUGAUGGAUGGUUUAAUAUUUUGAAGAUAGCACACUGUAGCACUUUUAAGAGAAUAAUCAGGACUGGCAUGUGAGAGCUGUGAAUUGCUUGAGUUCAAAAUCAGAGCUAGUGUAAAUGCAGUUUUGCGUAACUUCUCUUCGGCUGCCAACUGACCAUUUUAUACUUCUUUUCUAUCACCCGAUUGUAUUUUUCUUGGUUUCCUGUUUGACUUAUUUUCCAAAUUCACUUUAAUCUCCGAAAUUAUGGAAAUAAGGAAAUAGAGGAACUGUAUUUCUUCCUUUCUGAGUGCCUGAGUCUCAUCUGGAUACUCUGGUUUUAAACAUGAAGGGGCUGUAAAUCCUAGGAACACAAUGUCUUUUGAGGACUGGAACUAGUAUGUCUUCAGAACUGACUUCAAAUAGUUUAUUUCCACCCCAUUGAUCUGGCCUAUAUAUGUUGCUUUUUAUUAUAUAGUGUAUACUGUAGGGAUAGGAAGAGGCUGCAGUUUUACUAUUACCUCAUAAAAUUAAUUGGUGCCUAAAACAAAUAUUAUUAAAGAUAACUGCAUUUUAUAACAUACCAACAUGAUAGAUACAGCUUCUGUAGGGAGGUUUUUUUUGUGUGUGUGUUUAUGUCAAUAAACUCAUAAAAUCUGCAGAAUGAAAUUAGUCAUAAUCUCAUUUUUACUAUCAAAAGGUGAAGUUGUUCAGAAGUGUGACCACAUAGUUCCCCAUAAUGGCACAAACAAUUAAAUAAUUUAAAAUAUCUCCAUAACACAGGGUUUUGCUCAUAUCAAGAAAUAAUCACCACCCCUUCCCUGCUGAAUGUAAGGAGCUUAGCUUUAUUGAAGUCAAAAAAUCUAGUGCAGUGCUUUGUCAGUUAGUGAAUAUUUUGAGCUUCUUUAUUUUCCCUGUUGUUUUUUUUUACACAAAUGUGUGAAAUGUUGGUCUCACAAGAAAAUCAGACUAUAUUUGGUCUUGUAAAAUGUAACUCCAUUGUCCCCAUGCUAGACUGGAUUUCUUUUUAAUGUGCUGUUUUCCUCAACCCAACCUUUCUAUGGGGAAGAGUAAUAAGUUUAUUGUCAGUAUUGUGAAUAUUUUAAUUGAAGAUAAACAAGUUUUCUUUUUAAAUGUCUUCAGUAUUACAUAUCUUCAGUUUUAUUAUCCUAAUUUUAGUAGAUUGGCAAAGCCUGAUAAUCUUAACAGCCCUAACCUGAUUCAGCAUUCAUUACUGCUGCUAAAUCAAAUAAGACUUGGCUAAUAGAAACAUGGCUUGUGCAGCCAUUCUUCAAUUUAAUUAGAAUAUUAUACAUUGCAUUGCACUUAUAUGUGUAUACCAGAGACAGAACUUUAUAAUCAGUUUGGAAGCACUCAUGCUACAUCCUCUAUCUAGAGACAUUUAUCAUUUCUUGUGAAAACUCUAAAUUAUUAAAUAUCACAUCUUUAAGGGGUGAAGAUGGGGCUAGCUCACUUAAUGUGCCAUCAGAGGUUAGGAAUUUAGGUCUCAUUCUGCUAUAGCAGAGAUUGGCGAACUUCUUCUGUAAAGGGCAAGGUAGUAAAUGUGUUAGGCUUUGUGGGCCAUAUGGUCUCUUUCACAACUACUCAGCUCUGCUGUUGCAGUGUGAAAGCUGCUGUAGACAAUAUGUAAACAAAUGAACAUAGAUGAACCAAUAAAACUUUAUUUACAAACACUGAAAUUGAAUUUUAUAUAAUUUGCAUGUGCUGUGAUAUAUUCUUAAGAAUUUUUUUAACCAUUGACAAAUGUAAAAGUAUUCCUAAAUUCUAGGCUCUACAAAAGCACAAGGUGAGCUGGAUUUGGAUCACAGGCCUUAGUUUGCUGACCCCUAUUCUGUAGUUUUUCCUUUCUUACUGUAUUUUAAUUUUCUUAUUCAUAUAUUUAUGUACUUAUUUACUUAUACUUCUUUGAUUAUUUGUUUGCUCUGUAUCCAUGCAGCUUUCCAUAGUGUAGGAAAUGUGGGUGGAAUGAAUUUUCCUGUCAUUCUCUUAUCUACUAGUCUCUGCUUGAUGUAGCAAAGGAGAAUCAGGUGUUCAACCUCCAAUGAGAGUAAUUUCUGAUAUCAGUUGGUAGUUGCUGUUUAAUUCUCAAGGUUCAGACAAGGCGGCAGAAUUGACUUAUCUCAUUUUCACAUUCUGGGAGAUGAUCUGUUAGUCCUGAGGAUGCUGUCAGUUUCCUGGUAUUACUCUCCCUGCGUGGUCAUUAACAACAGCAGAGUCCAUAAAUUGAUCCCAGGUUUGAAUUGUAAGUUGUUGGCCCUGAAAACUUGGUGAACAAACUUGCUGUCAGUGUCCCUAUUGACAGAAGUAGUCUGAGGUCAGCUUCAUUACUGCACCCUGACUGUCUCAUACAUUGUCAGUUGAUUUUUAGGUUGUGUGCAAGAGGGUUCUUGUUUCAGACACUUGCUACCAGACAUAUUCACCUCAAAUAUUUACAGUACAAUGAAUCAUUCAAACAUAAGGUUGGCAGUGUCUUUUUUAAAUAGCAUUCAUGAAGGACUGGGUUAAUUCAUCAGACACAGAUUUUGAGAAAUUUUUUCCUCUUAAAGCAAAAGUUCAAUGUGCUAAUCAGUGGCAACUCUGUCAUCUGACACUAUAGAUACUUGUCUCUUUGUCAUUGAAGCUUGCCACUGGUAUCUUUUGCAAGAGUAGACAUGUUCUUAUCUAUGAAGUAUUUUCUAGAUUCACUUAGAAAAAAAUAAAGUGAGAAUACUAGUUUCUUUUUUGAAUAAUAGAACUUAAAGUUGGAUCGAGGUAUAUGAGUUAUUACUAUUGCCCAUUUCCUAGAAUUAUUUAUUAAGUAGGGGAUUUUACUCAUUGUCAAAUUUGUAAUUUUAGCUAAGUUCUGAAUAAAUCACCUUGUGAUUUCUUGCAAACAUUUUCAGUCCUUGUUUUGCGUUACCAUGGAAGGAAAUUUAACAAAAGUACUUGCUCUAACUCCUGGGUAUUUUUAAUUAUUCAUUUAUUUUUGGUCCUGUGGUUUCUCUCUAUGAGGUGAUUGGAACACACCAGACCUCUCAGAAGUGUUCUACUAUUUCCCUCCUCAGUAAGCAAAUUAUUUGCAAGUGACUUGAAAAUAACUUCAAGUAUUGGAGAGCUUUCUUCACAACCACCCUUGCCAAUGUUUUAGGUGGUACACAAAGUUCUGUAGGUCAGCUUGAAAUCAUAAUGCUUGCAAGGAAAAAAAAUUAAAAUUGACUUCAAAGGACAACUCUGACACGGUCAAUUAAUAAUUAAAACAGUUUUUUAAUGAGCUAUGCAAUUACCUGUAUGUCCCUGGAGAUGAUGGUUUAUGGUAUUAUUGCAGUGCCCUUUCUUUAGUCAUGGCGCAUGACAUUUGUAAUUUAAAGCCGGCUAGACAUUAAAGUGACAGAACUUUCAUUAACCUUGUCUAAAGUUUGCUGAUGACAAAUGACUUAUAAAACAUGCUGUUGUCAAAAUAUACCACAUAUUUAAGUACCUUAAAAGUCCUGUGGUCUCUGAGAAGCUAUAGAGACUCAGAGAGAGACCAGGGCCACCAGUGUCCUGUGGAAUUACUUGACAGAAUCCCCGGUGUCUGGCAUUAUUUCUUUGUACUCAGGUAAGUGGUAUCUGCUUCAGACAAGAGCGUAAUGUACUUUUCAUGGCUCUGUGGUUCAGGUAGGUUUCUCAUGGGUUUUUAUGCCACAUGACAUGAUUCUCUCAAUCAGUGAUUUAUGACUAUUGAAUAGUUUCUUCUAAAUAUGCUUUGGUAUAUAAACUUUCAAGUCUUUAGAAGCAGUUUUUUCAAUUUGAAACCAUUUAGCAAUUAUGUUUUGAUUUUAGCUUUUCUUGUAUCUUGGCUUUCUAAAUUCUUAGCCCUCUGUUUGUGCUAUGCCAUACCUCUGUUUUUAUUGUUUUCUUCCUCUUAUUUGAAAUUUUCGUUUUUUUAUACACACUAUGUAAAACAUCCUCUAAUUUUUUAAGAUUUUUCUCAUCAUAUUUAUUUUAGAGGAAUAUCUUGCAAUGCUAUCAAGGGAGAUAUUGCAGGUGGAUAUCUUUUUAUAAUUAUAACAGUAAUAAAUAUAUAGUAAUUAACAUUAAUGUGCAGGUAUUUUUUGCCAGGUAUUAAGCUAAGAGUUCUAUCUCAUUUAAUCCUCGUGGUAGCCAGAGCUUAUAGCACUGUUUCCCCGUUUACAAAUUUGGAAACUGAAGUACAAAAAGAUUAAGUACUUGCUUACUGUCUCACAGCUUGUAGGUAACCAGGAUUCAAAUUCUGACUGACACCAAAGAUAUUAUUAGUAACCACUAAGCAACAUGGCCUCUCAACUUAUUUUUGUUUUUUCAGAGUAAAUUAUAAGUUUGUUGUCUGGAAAGAUAAAGUAUAGCAAACUUAUAAUUUAUUUAUUAUUUAAUAAUUAUAACCACCUUUAAUAAUUAAAUAGAAUUGCUAUCGUCCUGUUCAUGCUAUGGAAUAUACCAAUAAAUAUAUGCUGGAUAACAUAUCAGCAAAUAUGAAUUUAAUAUUAUAAGCAAAAGUUGAGUUUAUGUCUUAUUCAAGAGACUUGUUAAGAGAAAUUAUAACUACCUUUUAACUCAAGUGGCAUAUAAUAGGUAUUUCAUAAGUAUUUGGUAUUAGUAUUAUUAUUAGCAUACUCCCUGCAUGUAAUAUAUCUUGAUUCUUUCUUUCAUGAGUCUGUGUUUCAUGAUUGGUUCCAUUAUAGAGACUACAACUUCAACAACACAUUGUUUUAUCUGGUUAAUGUCCAUACAUUUCUUAAACACUAUGUAAGUAUUAUACAUUACAAAAUAUUAAAUACUUUCAUUUUAUCAAAUACAUUCCUGUGUUCAUAUUGCUGAAUAGUAGUCUGGAUUUCUACCUACUGAUCUCUUAACUAUUUUUUGGUUGAAGUAUAACACCAGGGAGGUAGACAUAGUAUAAAUGUAUAGCUCAGUAAAUUGUCACAAAAUAAACACCUGAGUAACCAUUACCGAGGUCAAGAACUUUGCCAGUAGCACUCCAGAAGCCUUCCUCAUGGCCUCUCAAAAUUACUACUCUUCCUUCCUCCCCAGUGAUAACCAAGAUUUGAACUUUAAUGCCAUAGUUUUGCAUUUUCUUUGUUUGCUUUCGCUUUUGACAUUUUUUAAAUUUCUUAUUGUUGAAAAUGUCAAACAUACAAAAGUAGAGGGCAUAGUGUAUUGAAUAUCAUGUUCUUAUCACUCUACUUCAACAAUUAUUAACUCAUGACCAAUGUUAGUUCACCUGUAAUCUCAUCCACUCUCCCUACCAUGGAUCAUUUUAAAGGAAAUUAUAAACAUUGUAUUACCUCUCCAUAAUUUUUUCAGUAUAUAUCUCUAAAAGUCAGGGUUUCUUUUUUAAAAAGAUAACCAUAAUAAUAUCUUCUUACCUAAAUACUAUCAUACCAACAAUAUCCAGCCAGUAUUAAAAUUCUAUAAUUGCCUUAUAUUAUUACUUUGAAAAAAAAAAAACCUUCUUAUUUGUUGAAUCAAGAGCCAAAUAAAAUCCAUGAGUUAUAACUACUUGAUUUGUAUGCCAAGUGCUUUUUAAUCUAUAGCUCCUUCAUCCCUUUUUUCUCCCUUGAAGUUUAAGAAACUGGACUGCUUGACCCACAGUUGCCUACAGUCUGAUUUUGCUUAUUAUAUCUUCCUGAUGUUGUUUAACAUGUUAAAAAAAAUUUUUUUUGAUUUCUUGUUAGUCAAAUAAGAAGUGUAUCAGAUGCAAGCUUACUUUUCUUUUUGAGGGGAUGGGAGGGUAUAAAGGGCAAGAAUACUUCAUAGGUGGGUACAUAAUGUCUGUACCUUUUUGUAUGCAUGUGAUGUCAGUAACCAUUUGACAACCAAGAUUUAUUCUUUCAGUGAAGGCCAUAAAAUGGUGAGGAUCUAUCUUAUUGCCAUUCCUUCAUAAAGAGGAACUUCCCCUUAUUAUUUAACUUAAGGUGCAGUAUAUAUACGAAUGGCAAGAUAAAUGACUGAUUCUUUACCUUUAUUUACCAAUUUUCAAAAUAAUUAGUUGGUUCUCUAGCACCCUUCAAAGGUAAUCAUGAAAGUUUUGUUUUGCUUUAGUAUUAUUUUGAAUUUAUAGGGUUAAACAUACUAUGCUUCAAUCCAUUCAAUAAUUAUUCUUAUUGAUGCUCAAAUUAUCCUGUUUUUGGCCAGUGGAAGACUCUUUUACUAUGACCCCAGAAUCUUUGCUAAUAUCUUUUUCUGAUAGUGAUAAGAUAUUCCAGGCUCAUCUUAGAAAGUUUUUUGUUUUGUUUUGUUCUUGCCUCAAACCUGGAAUCAGCUAUUUCUCCUAGAAGCUCAUUUCUUUUAGUGGGAAAUGUUAUUUAGAAACUAUACUCUGGUCCCUUGGGUAUGCAUAUUCUUACUGGAUAGGUCAUUGUUUUUAGAUCUUUUUAGUGUACAGAACUAGGAAAUGUAUUGCUGUUGUCUUAAAGAUAAAAUGCAUAAGGACUCCAUUUUGAGUUUUCAAUUCAAAUUCAAGAUUACAUAGCUUUCACUUAAAAUCAUGCAUUUGUGUUUUCAUUCAUGCAUGUGAAAAAUCCUGACACCAGCAUUAAAGAUUCUUAAACUGGGAUACAUCAUACACACAGUGAUGUAGUUUCUGGAAGAUAAAGCUUGGUAUCUACUUUUUUAACAAGUUCCACAGGUGAUUCUGAUACUUACCAAAGGAUGAGAACCACUGAUCUAUUUUUUAUGAACAAUUUUAUGUUAUAGAUUUUAAACAAAACCUCCCAUUUUCUUCUUAGAAUCCUCCCUUUUUUCUUGAUUGUCCAUCCACAUUGGUUUUUUUUUUUUUUUUUUUUUUUUUUUUUUUUUGACACAGUGGGCACUCUGUCGCCCAGGCUGGAAUGCCAUGGCAUGAUCUCAGUUACUGCAGCCUCCACCUUCAGGUUCACACAGUUCUCAUGCUUCAGCGUCCCGAGUAGCUGGGGCUACAGGUGUGUACUACCACACCCAGCUAAUUUUUGUAUUUUUAGAAGAGAUGGGGUUUCGCCAUGUUGGCCAGGCUGGUCUAGAACUCCUGACCUCAAGUAAUCCACCCUCCUCAGCCUCUCAAAGUGCUAGGAUUACAGGUGUGAGCCAAUGUGCCUGGCCAAGAUUGACCAUAUUCUUGAUGAGCCACCUGUGUAGAAUCCGAAUUAUUUUCUUGUUUAACUCAUAUUGCUCUGUGCAUCUGAUAGAAAAGACUACAGUUAUUUCACUUCUGUGAAAGCCAAGCUGCAGUUAUCUUUGACCACUUGGAAAGCUAAAAUACAGGUGAACCCUCAGAACUAAGGCUCUGCCUGAGGCCAGAGACAGAAUCCUCCCUCAUUGCUUUGAGCAGAAUGCCUGGUACUGGAGCGGAUUUGCUUAAGGGCAACUCUGCAUUUGAUAAAAUAUCAGAGCAAUUUACGUCCUUGUACGCUUGUUCCCUUUCUUUCCUCUUAUGCAGAAAUGUUAAUUGACAAUCAAAGAAGUAACAAGGGCACAUCUUUACUACUUCUGCAGAUCUAGGCCUGGUUUGGGUUAUGCCUUCUUUCAUCCAUGCUCAUCUGAGAGUUCCAGUGUUUUCCUUGUUCUUGUUUCUGCAUUCAGAGUUCUAAAAUUUGACUCUGGUUGGUCAUUUUAUCACUUUUCUCUUAGAAUAGAUUAUAGAUCUAUAUCAGAACAUUUAAUUUUUAAUUGAUUUGUAUUGAUAAUAGGUGAAAAAGAAGUUAAUUAGCCUGGAAAUGACUACAUCUUAAGGUCAGAUUUUGGUUAAAAAUAUAAUCACAUUAAUUUUGAGAAUCUUUGAAGUUUAUUUAAUGUUAGCUAUGUUUUAUGUUAAAUUUGCAAACUUUCACAUUAUUAUCAAUGUUCUUGAGAGGGAGGCAAAGAUAUUCUCAAUUUAUGAUGCAAAAUGGAACUUUAGUUCAAUUAUUUGACCUCUGUGAUUUAGGUCACACAUCUUGUAAGUGGGGAAGCAACUACUCAGUCCGAUUCCAGGUAUUUUUUCUGCCUGGAGGCUGGAACGUCCAAGAUCAAGGCAUUGGAAAGGUUGGUUUGAUUCUGAGACUCUUCUCUUGGCUUAUAGACAGCCAGCAUUUCUCUGUGUGUUUAGAUGACCUCUUCUUUGGAAAUGCAUAUGUGAGGGGGGAAGACAAAGCAAGCUCUCUGAUGGCUCUUUUUUUAAGGACACUAAUGCCAUCAUGAGGGCCUCACUCUCAUGACCUCAUCUAACCCCAAUUUCCUGAAAAGGGCCUGACUCCAAAUACCCACUCAUCAGGGCUUAGGAUUUCAACAUGAAUUUUGUGGGGAUACAAACAUUCGGUCUAUAACAACAGCCAUGAGUUAUAGUGUUUUGUGAACCUGAAUCUUCUUAUAACUUGUACUGUAUGUGGCUAAGGACCAGAGCCAUGCAUCUACUCUGAUCUCUUUCUUAUUACCCCUUUAGGCAGUUCUGCGGUACUAUAAGGAACACUUACCCGUCAAUAGAUUAGAUGACUAGAACCCUACGUGUACUUGUCUGGAAAGAGAAUUUUUGUUCCUGUAAUUCUUUUUGAAGUGUCAAGAACUUAUUUAGUUUCACUGGAUUAAAGAGAGCAAAAUUAUCAGCUUGAAUCAGGAGCAACUUGAAGGAAGAGAUCAGGGCUAUGAAGCCUGUUGGGAGAUCUGCAUUUAUAAGGAGAUGGUUUCAGCAAGGAUAAGUCAUAUCUUAACAUCUUAGUCUUAAAGGACAGAUUUGUUGCAAAGAAAAUGGAAAUGGAAGGAAAAAGUGCUAAGUCUUUUUUUCGUGGCAACAUUUCAGAAUUAUGUAUUGUAGCUCAAAUUUUGCUUUUGCUUCUCCCUUCAGUUAAUAUUAGAAUUAGAAGCCUUAUCAGACACAGUGUUGUUAUUUCUGCCUAACCAAAGCUGUGGACAGGUGAAACCUGUAAAGAUAUUAAUGAAAUGAGAAAUUUCAUGUAAAUGAGGUGGUUGAAUUUUAUUUUUGUUGUUAAUGUUAGGUGAUUGCAAAAUCUGCUUAUUUUGUUAUAGAGAUUCCAGGAUGCCAAUAUACCCUUAAAUUUGUUCAGAAUUUUAUGUGGGAUUAUAAUUUUCUAUUUUAAUUUACUUUAUAACUUGUUAGCUAUUCUUUCUCUAAACAUCUGAGAGAUAUUUUUCUUCCCAGCUUUAAAAUUUAAUUGAAAAAUAAAACUGUGACUAUGUUUUGUUAAGUUAAACAAUACAUCUCUGCCAGGCUUCUUAAGGCAAAUAGGAUUAUAAAAUCUUACAGGCCCAGUUCAUAUUACUCGCUCUGAACAAUGAACUAACCACUCCCAUAGAAUCCUAGGAGAGUUUAAAAAUGAAAUUACAGCUUUCUUAAUGUUUCUCACAUUUGCCCAAAGGUUUAAAAGAUGGUGCCAUAAGAAAUACAUGAAGGUGACCUUGGAAAUAUAUCCAAAGAAGGUGCCGUGGAAAUUAUCUUUCUUUUAGUGGCCUCUUUGCAGUGAGAUAGGGUUAUUAGGGGCAUUUUAUUUUUCUGUACCUAGUAAAAUCUGUUGCUUACAAUGAUUCCCUGAUGCCUUGGGUAAGGAAAAGAGGCUUCCCUUUGUAGGAUUCAUCUAACAAGUUGUUAUUGCUUACCUAAUUUUUUUUUUUAAGUUUUUUUUCACUCUGCUAGGCACUGGGGAGCUGUAAUGACUAAGAGGACCUCUUCUCCUCUAGAACUGCACUACUAAAUCAAAGAGUCACUAGCCACCUUGGCUAUUUCAAUUUAAGGUUAAUUAAAAAUUCAGUUCCUUAGUAGUACAAGACACAUUACAAGUGCUCAAUAGCCAUAUGUGACUAUAUUGGACAGCAUAUAUAUAGAACAUUCCUGAUAUUGCAGAAACUUCUGUUGGAUAGUACUGUACUAGAAGUUAUUAUUCAGAUUUAUUUACAAUAUAUGGUUGUUGUAGUAGUGGUUUUUAGUCUUAGAGUCAUGUUAACCUAGAGAUGGAUAGGCAAACAAAAAUAUGCUACAAAGAAAAUUAUUAUGGGCUAUUCAGGUGUUCUUGUUACUGUAUGUGCCCCUAAUAUUAGGAUUUUCUCCACAGAACAUUAUCACUCAAAAAAGAAGUCAUUAUAUAUAUUCAGGUUCUUACAAAGGCUCUAAUAUUACCAACUAAUCUUUCAAUUACAGUACUUUAUUUUGAACAUCAAAAUGGCUUUCAUGAAUGUUUGCUUAUGAUUCUUGAAGAAGUUACUGGUAAAAUCAGAUUUAAAAAGAAGAAAGAAAGAAAUUUAACACAAAUUUAGUAAUUUGGGCAUGACCUCACAACUACAAGUGUUGGGCAUUAUUGUAAACAACCCUUUUUAAGAGCAGAUAAAGCAACACCACAAGUGUCAUUGCUAUGAAGAUCACAGUUAUGUGCCUGCAGGAUGUUUGACAAACUGUCCUGCUAUUUAGCAAAUUGGUACUUGUGGUAACUGUGUCAUACAUGAAUUUUAAAAAGUGUUAUACCUCAAACAAUCUAGAAGGAAAGAUGAUUUGCUCAGGAAAGUAAAAAAA